This 497-nucleotide ribosomal RNA is filed under the name uncultured bacterium. RNAcentral's name for it is "partial 16S ribosomal RNA". It matches the Rfam family "Bacterial small subunit ribosomal RNA", at positions 28 to 507 of the family's 1533-position model. The record is from RNAcentral.
GAUGAACGCUGGCGGCGUGCCUAAUACAUGCAAGUAGAACGCUGAAGGAAGGAGCUUGCUCUUUCCGGAUGAGUUGCGAACGGGUGAGUAACGCGUAGGUAACCUGCCUGGUAGCGGGGGAUAACUAUUGGAAACGAUAGCUAAUACCGCAUAACAGUAGAUGUUGCAUGAUAUCUACUUAAAAGGUGCAAUUGCACCACUACCAGAUGGACCUGCGUUGUAUUAGCUAGUUGGUGAGGUAACGGCUCACCAAGGCGACGAUACAUAGCCGACCUGAGAGGGUGAUCGGCCACACUGGGACUGAGACACGGCCCAGACGCCUACGGGAGGCAGCAGUAGGGAAUCUUCGGCAAUGGACGGAAGUCUGACCGAGCAACGCCGCGUGAGUGAAGAAGGGUUUCGGAUCGUAAAGCUCUGUUGUAAGAGAAGAACGAGUGUGAGAGUGGAAAGUUCACACUGUGACGGUAUCUUACCAGAAAGGGACGGCUAACUACGUG